CAAAGGGUGCUUUGGAGCCAGUUUGUGUAAGUAAGCUUGCAGUCCAAUUCGGGUAUAAAAACGGAAGACUAAUCGAACUGCCUAGCAGCUGGUUCCCCUGAAGUUACCCCCAGGAUAGCUGAAGUAGACCAAAAGCACAAAUAUAUUCGAUAAAGCGAAUUAUUAGAGGAAAUGGGAACAAAACGUUCGCAACUUAUCCUCAGACAUUCAGUGGGUAUGAAGUUUCGCUUGCUUAAAUAUUUUGAA
RNAcentral lists this non-coding RNA (246 nucleotides) under Gongylonema pulchrum. RNAcentral describes it as "Eukaryotic large subunit ribosomal RNA". It matches the Rfam family "Eukaryotic large subunit ribosomal RNA", at positions 853 to 1104 of the family's 3401-position model. Lineage: Eukaryota; Metazoa; Nematoda; Chromadorea; Rhabditida; Gongylonematidae. The record is from Rfam by way of RNAcentral.